AUAGAAAUUGCAAUAACAAGAUCUUAAUUCUAAUAGAAUAUUAAUAAUAUUCUAAUUAGACCAUAAUAAUGCUAAACAAGCUUAAUCAAAUUCAAAAAUACCUCAAAUAAAUUUCAAACAAAGAAUAAGAAUUCUUAAAGAAAUAUUAGAAGGAUCACAAAUAUCACUCAAAUACAUCUCAAUUCAAUCUUAAUUUAAUUCUAGUUAAAAUCCUAUUGAAUUUCAUUCAAACUUUAGGCCAAACCUAAUUCAAUCUUAAAUCCUAAUAAAAUCCUAAAUCCUAAAUCAAAUCCUAAACAAACCUUAAACCAAAUCCCAAUUAAAUCCUAAACCAAAUCCUAAAUCCUAAAUCAAACCCUAAUCAAAUCCUAAUCCAAAUCCUAAAUCCUAAAUCAAAUCCUAAUCCAAACCAUAAAUCCUAAAUCCUAAAUCAAACCCUAAUCAAAUCCUAAAUCCUAAAUAAAAUCCUAAUAAAAUCCUAAAU
This 484-nucleotide long non-coding RNA is filed under the name Physcomitrium patens. Its description in RNAcentral is "long non-coding RNA (PPAT_LNC007304)". Lineage: Eukaryota; Viridiplantae; Streptophyta; Bryopsida; Funariales; Funariaceae. The record is from RNAcentral.